GAUUGCAGGCUGCAACUCGCCUGCAUGAAGUUGGAAUUGCUAGUAAUCGCGAAUCAGAAUGUCGCGGUGAAUACGUUCCCGGGCCUUGUACACACCGCCCGUCACACCAUGAGAGCCGAUAACACCCGAAGCCUGUGAGCUAACCGUAAGGGGGCAGCAGUCGAAGGUAGAAUCAAUGAUUGGGGUGAAGUCGUAACAAGGUAUC
This 205-nucleotide ribosomal RNA is filed under the name uncultured bacterium. Its description in RNAcentral is "partial 16S ribosomal RNA". It matches the Rfam family "Bacterial small subunit ribosomal RNA", at positions 1296 to 1500 of the family's 1533-position model. The record is from RNAcentral.